GAUGAAGAACGCAGCGAAACGCGAUAAGUAAUGUGAAUUGCAGAAUCCAGUGAAUCAUCGAAUCUUUGAACGCACAUUGCGCCCGCCAGCAUUCUGGCGGGCAUGCCUGUUCGAGCGUCAUUUCAACCCUCGACCUCCCCUUGGGGUGGUCGGCGUUGGGGACCGGCAGCACACCGCCGGCCCUGAAAUGGAGUGGCGGCCCGUCCGCGGCGACCUCUGCGCAGUAAUACAGCUCGCACCGGGACCCCGACGCGGCCACGCCGUAAAACACCCAACUUCUGAACGUUGACCUCGAAUCAGGUAGGACUACCCGCUGAACUUAAGCAUAUCAAUAAGCGGAGGA
Molecule: unclassified non-coding RNA, 343 nt
Filed under: soil metagenome
Description: partial contains 5.8S ribosomal RNA, internal transcribed spacer 2, and large subunit ribosomal RNA
Rfam family: 5.8S ribosomal RNA (bases 1-120)
Source: RNAcentral